This is a non-coding RNA of Helianthus annuus (common sunflower), 76 nucleotides long. Lineage: Eukaryota; Viridiplantae; Streptophyta; Magnoliopsida; Asterales; Asteraceae. The record is from Rfam.
GUUCCCAAUGAUUUUAAAUUUGACCAUGCUAAUUCUGAUAUUGUUGAAUCAGUUCACAGUUAUUAAUGAGGGAACU